CAGGCCUAACACAUGCAAGUCGAACGCCCCGCAAGGGGAGUGGCAGACGGGUGAGUAACACGUGGGAACGUGCCCUACGGUUCGGGAUAACUCUGGGAAACUAGAGCUAAUACCGGAUACGUGCGAGAGCAGAAAGAUUUAUCGCCGUAGGAUCGGCCCGCGUCUGAUUAGCUAGUUGGUGAGGUAAUGGCUCACCAAGGCGACGAUCAGUAGCUGGUCUGAGAGGAUGAUCAGCCACACUGGGACUGAGACACGGCCCAGACUCCUACGGGAGGCAGCAGUGGGGAAUCUUGCGCAAUGGGCGAAAGCCUGACGCAGCGACGCCGCGUGAGUGAUGAAGGCCUUCGGGUUGUAAAGCUCUGUGGGGAGGGACGAAUAAGUGCUGGCUAAUAUCCAGCGCGAUGACGGUACCUCUUUAGCAAGCACCGGCUAACUCUGUGCCAGCAGCCGCGGUAAU
This 457-nucleotide ribosomal RNA is filed under the name uncultured bacterium. RNAcentral describes it as "bacterial SSU rRNA". It matches the Rfam family "Bacterial small subunit ribosomal RNA", at positions 43 to 524 of the family's 1533-position model. The record is from RNAcentral.